UUUCAUGAAACUUUCAUCAGAGACGGAGAUGUCGAUGGCUGUCCUCGCUGUUGUCUCAGUAUUUUGUCUCUGUGUCACUUCAGUAGCUGGUCAAUAUUCCACUCCCUCCAUCCGGCUCAUCUCCUUAUAUUCAACUGUCUCGCCUGGAGAAACUGUUCGUAUCAGUUGUGGCAUUUAUAACUGUCAACACAGGGAUGCCUGUUUAUACAGAAAUGGUGCUUCCAUCAUGAGACAGUUCUGUUACUACCGGUUACAGAGCAGUGUGACCUUCACUCA
This is a long non-coding RNA of Alosa sapidissima (American shad), 276 nucleotides long. RefSeq lists it as uncharacterized. Lineage: Eukaryota; Metazoa; Chordata; Actinopteri; Clupeiformes; Clupeidae. The record is from RefSeq and is a predicted model, not a curated record. The transcript is spliced from 3 exons.